This 253-nucleotide ribosomal RNA is filed under the name uncultured bacterium. RNAcentral's name for it is "partial 16S ribosomal RNA". It matches the Rfam family "Bacterial small subunit ribosomal RNA", at positions 524 to 776 of the family's 1533-position model. The record is from RNAcentral.
UACGAAGGGGGCUAGCGUUGUUCGGAAUCACUGGGCGUAAAGGGCGCGUAGGCGGCCGAUCAAGUCGGGGGUGAAAGCCUGUGGCUCAACCACAGAAUUGCCUUCGAUACUGUUUGGCUUGAGACCGGAAGAGGUUAGUGGAACUGCGAGUGUAGAGGUGAAAUUCGUAGAUAUUCGCAAGAACACCAGUGGCGAAGGCGGCUGACUGGUCCGGUACUGACGCUGAGACGCGAAAGCGUGGGGAGCGAACAGG